RNAcentral lists this ribosomal RNA (254 nucleotides) under uncultured bacterium. RNAcentral describes it as "partial 16S ribosomal RNA". It matches the Rfam family "Bacterial small subunit ribosomal RNA", at positions 524 to 776 of the family's 1533-position model. The record is from RNAcentral.
UACGUAGGGUGCGAGCGUUGUCCGGAAUUAUUGGGCGUAAAGGGCUCGUAGGCGGUUUGUCACGUCGGGAGUGAAAACUCGGGGCUUAACCCCGAGCCUGCUUCCGAUACGGGCUGACUAGAGGUAUGCAGGGGAGAACGGAAUUCCUGGUGUAGCGGUGAAAUGCGCAGAUAUCAGGAGGAACACCGAUGGCGAAGGCAGGUCUCUGGGCAUUAACUGACGCUGAGGAGCGAAAGCAUGGGGGAGCGAACAGG